GGGGAUGUACUGGUUUUGACAGCAAUGAUGUCGGACUGUAAGCACGCCGGGCGUGGGGAAUUGGCCCGUUAAUCCCAGUUCUCAAAAAAUUAGUAGGCAACUACAAUUAUUCUUACGCUUGCUAAUCCGUAGUCGGAUUCAGCAUUAAUCAGCGCCGCCAAGGCUGCGGCACUGACGUAUAUCCCGCCAGCUUUCCGCCGGUUAUGCCUGGAGCCCGGGGUAUCAUUCAAACCGGAUGCACGGAGGGACUCCUUUCAACUCCGCCAAGACCCAAAGGAUAAGCGUCAGUUCGCCCGCCCUCCGGCAGGCUGCCGCCGACAACCAAAGGAAGGAUAAGCGUGUAGAAAGCACUUCGGUGCGUUGUUUGGACGGCGGUUCGACUCCGCCCAUCUCCACGA
RNAcentral lists this transfer-messenger RNA (398 nucleotides) under Bacteroidales. RNAcentral describes it as "Cryptobacteroides sp017438265 Standard tmRNA". It matches the Rfam family "transfer-messenger RNA". From Rfam's summary of the family: Bacterial tmRNA, also known as 10Sa RNA or SsrA, is named for its dual tRNA and mRNA-like properties. Its role is to liberate the mRNA from a stalled ribosome. RNAcentral also lists the same sequence under 1 other name. The record is from RNAcentral. Lineage: Bacteria; Pseudomonadati; Bacteroidota; Bacteroidia.